AGUCCGUUAGAGAGCACGGAGGAUCAAAACCAGGGAAACCAAGUUCAUUCAUCCAGGAGUAAGAGAUGGCCUGAAGAAGGACCCAGAGAGACACUGGAAUAGAAUGAAGAAUUAAGGGAACCUUUCCCAAAAUGUUCGAAGACAGAUAGAAAAACAUUUGCAACUUUUGUUUCACUUGAUGAACGAGUCAGGAACUGUUUGUGCACAAUAAUCCAACAUCAGUUUAAGAUUUUUGGCUGUGUUUUCUCAAGAGCAAGGAAAGACUUUGCUUCCAAUUCCUGCACAUUAUUUUUUUAUUGUUUGGAUUUCCUAUUCAGCACCACUUUACUUUCAUUCUUUUGGUUAUUAAUCUGUUCAUUUUGGAAGAAUAAGUAAUUAAAACAGUUUUGAAAA
Molecule: non-coding RNA, 393 nt
Organism: Callorhinus ursinus (northern fur seal)
Lineage: Eukaryota; Metazoa; Chordata; Mammalia; Carnivora; Otariidae
Source: RefSeq, a predicted model, not a curated record